RNAcentral lists this ribosomal RNA (107 nucleotides) under Shewanella sp. Its description in RNAcentral is "partial 23S ribosomal RNA". It matches the Rfam family "Bacterial large subunit ribosomal RNA", at positions 2820 to 2925 of the family's 2925-position model. The record is from RNAcentral. Lineage: Bacteria; Pseudomonadati; Pseudomonadota; Gammaproteobacteria; Alteromonadales; Shewanellaceae. RNAcentral also lists the same sequence under 2 other names.
UAAUUCCUCUAAAGAGCCGUUCGAGACUAGGACGUUGAUAGGCAUGGUGUGUAAGCGUUGUGAGGCGUUGAGCUAACAUGUACUAAUGACUCGAGAGGCUUAACCAU